CUGCUACCAAGUAAGUCAACCAGCUCCUUCCUCAUGGGGGCCUUAUGUGCAAUGGCUGUGAACAGUAGCCUCGUGGGAGCAUAUUCAACCUGUUGCCUACAGGGGUUGCCCUAUGGGACCUCAGAGACAGUU
Peromyscus californicus insignis is the source of this 132-nucleotide small nucleolar RNA. RefSeq annotates it as small nucleolar RNA SNORA70. The record is from RefSeq and is a predicted model, not a curated record. The transcript has a single exon. NCBI's taxonomy places the organism in Eukaryota, Metazoa, Chordata, Mammalia, Rodentia, Cricetidae.